This 322-nucleotide long non-coding RNA is filed under the name Brassica napus (rape). RNAcentral's name for it is "long non-coding RNA (BNAP_LNC019905)". Lineage: Eukaryota; Viridiplantae; Streptophyta; Magnoliopsida; Brassicales; Brassicaceae. The record is from RNAcentral.
UUUAAUGAAGGGCUGAACUAGAAAUUAAUUCUCUAUAUAAAGAGGGUUAUGAACCCCAAGGCAACCCUAGCCGAAAAUAAGGAACUCUCUAUAUCCCAUAAAGAAUUAAAGUCACGUAGGGCUUGCUUCGGAAGAUCCAUUCCCUAACAUCAGAUCCUAAGAGCAAUGGAUACAUCGGGUACACUUCCGCUUAUGUUUAUUCAAUCAGAGAAUCGUAUGGUUAAAGGAUUCAUAUUGAUUGUGGGAACCGAAAUUCGCACUGUCGAUUUCCGUUUAAAUAAGGAAAGUUAGGAAAACUCUAAUUUCCCAGAGGUCCCGGAUA